GAUCAAAAUAAAGGUAUUGACAUAAAAGAGAAUUGGCCCCACGGAGCGGUUUUUCUUUCUCGCAAAGUAUUGCGUUAGGAAAUCGGCACCCCCA
Molecule: small RNA, 94 nt
Filed under: Mycoplasmoides pneumoniae M129
Lineage: Bacteria; Bacillati; Mycoplasmatota; Mycoplasmoidales; Mycoplasmoidaceae
Description: Mycoplasma pneumoniae M129 ncRNA
Source: RNAcentral